GACGAACGCUGGCGGCGUGCUUAACACAUGCAAGUCGAACGGAAAGGCCCUGCUUUUGUGGGGUGCUCGAGUGGCGAACGGGUGAGUAACACGUGAGUAACCUGCCCUUGACUUUGGGAUAACUUCAGGAAACUGGGGCUAAUACCGGAUAGGAGCUCCUGCUGCAUGGUGGGGGUUGGAAAGUUUCGGCGGUUGGGGAUGGACGCGCGGCUUAUCAGCUUGUUGGUGGGGGAGUUGCUUACCAAGGGUUUGACGGGUAGCCGGCCUGAGAGGGUGACCGGCCACAUUGGUACUGAGGUACGGCCGAGACUGCUACGGGAGGCAACAGUGGGAAAUAUUGCACAAUGGGCGGAAGUCAGAUGCGACGGCGCCGCGUGCGGGAUGACGGCCUACGGGUUGUGAACCGCUUUCGCCUGUAACGAAGCGUGAGUGACGGUAAUGGGUAAAGAAGCACCGGCUAACUACGUG
RNAcentral lists this ribosomal RNA (468 nucleotides) under uncultured bacterium. RNAcentral's name for it is "partial 16S ribosomal RNA". It matches the Rfam family "Bacterial small subunit ribosomal RNA", at positions 28 to 507 of the family's 1533-position model. The record is from RNAcentral.